GCAAGUCGAGCGGUAGCAUUUCUAGCUUGCUAGAAGAUGACGAGCGGCGGACGGGUGAGUAAUGCUUGGGAAUAUGCCUUGAAGUGGGGGACAACAGUUGGAAACGACUGCUAAUACCGCAUAAUGUCUACGGACCAAAGGAGGGGAUCUUCGGACCUCUCGUUAUUUGAUUAGCCCAAGUGAGAUUAGCUAGUUGGUAAGGUAAUGGCUUACCAAGGCGACGAUCUCUAGCUGGUUUGAGAGGAUGAUC
RNAcentral lists this ribosomal RNA (250 nucleotides) under uncultured bacterium. Its description in RNAcentral is "partial 16S ribosomal RNA". It matches the Rfam family "Bacterial small subunit ribosomal RNA", at positions 57 to 305 of the family's 1533-position model. The record is from RNAcentral.